Molecule: unclassified non-coding RNA, 264 nt
Filed under: Homo sapiens (human)
Lineage: Eukaryota; Metazoa; Chordata; Mammalia; Primates; Hominidae
Description: partial NAMA
Source: RNAcentral
UCCCCUUCAGUGCAGACACCAAGACAGGAUGGACAAUACAGAGGAUUUUACUAGGGGAAACAUCUGUGAGAUAAAAAUGGGGAGGGAGCUGGUAGAGGCUAGAAGAGAGGAAAGGCUGGGAGAGCCAUCACACCUUGAUGCAAGUCUGACCUAAGUGCAGGAGGGAGGGAAGCAAGUUUGGGUGGAAGCUCCUAGACUGCCUAUAGCAAGGCCAUCAGAGAGUCCUCAAGCCAAAGUCACCUAUCAGAGAAGUUCCCUGUUUCU